RNAcentral lists this transfer RNA (73 nucleotides) under Chelonia mydas (Green sea turtle). It matches the Rfam family "tRNA". From Rfam's summary of the family: Transfer RNA (tRNA) molecules are approximately 80 nucleotides in length. Their secondary structure includes four short double-helical elements and three loops (D, anti-codon, and T loops). Lineage: Eukaryota; Metazoa; Chordata; Testudines; Cheloniidae. The record is from Rfam by way of RNAcentral.
GGGGAAUUAACUCAGGUGGUAGAGCACUUGCUUUGCAUGCAAGAGGCUGUGGGAUCAAUACCUACAUUCUCCA